Molecule: transfer RNA, 90 nt
Filed under: Rhodospirillaceae bacterium
Lineage: Bacteria; Pseudomonadati; Pseudomonadota; Alphaproteobacteria; Rhodospirillales; Rhodospirillaceae
Also listed under: 2 other names
Description: tRNA-Ser
Rfam family: tRNA
About the family: Transfer RNA (tRNA) molecules are approximately 80 nucleotides in length. Their secondary structure includes four short double-helical elements and three loops (D, anti-codon, and T loops).
Source: RNAcentral
GGAGAGGUGCCGGAGUGGUUGAACGGGACGGUCUCGAAAACCGUUGUGGGCGCAAGCCCACCGAGGGUUCGAAUCCCUCUCUCUCCGCCA